GUUUGUGGCUCAGCGGUAGAGCGCUUGCCUAGCAUGUGCAAGGCUCUGAGUUUGAUCCUCAGCACCACA
Molecule: transfer RNA, 69 nt
Filed under: Marmota monax (woodchuck)
Lineage: Eukaryota; Metazoa; Chordata; Mammalia; Rodentia; Sciuridae
Description: tRNA.Ala
Source: RNAcentral